GACGAACCGUGCGAACGUUGUUCGGAAUCACUGGGCUUAAAGGGCGCGUAGGCGGGCUAUCAAGUCCGGGGUGAAAUCCUCCAGCUUAACUGGAGAACUGCCUCGGAUACUGAUGGUCUCGAGGAGGAUAGGGGCACACGGAACUGUGGGUGGAGCGGUGAAAUGCGUUGAUAUCCAUAGGAACUCCGGUGGCGAAAGCGGUGUGCUGGAUCCUUUCUGACGCUGAGGCGCGAAAGCCAGGGGAGCAAACAGG
RNAcentral lists this ribosomal RNA (253 nucleotides) under uncultured bacterium. RNAcentral describes it as "partial 16S ribosomal RNA". It matches the Rfam family "Bacterial small subunit ribosomal RNA", at positions 524 to 776 of the family's 1533-position model. The record is from RNAcentral.